RNAcentral lists this ribosomal RNA (2938 nucleotides) under Pectobacterium carotovorum. RNAcentral describes it as "23S ribosomal RNA". It matches the Rfam family "Bacterial large subunit ribosomal RNA". The record is from RNAcentral. Lineage: Bacteria; Pseudomonadati; Pseudomonadota; Gammaproteobacteria; Enterobacterales; Pectobacteriaceae.
GGGUUGUGAGGUUAAGCGACUAAGCGUACACGGUGGAUGCCUAGGCAGUCAGAGGCGAUGAAGGGCGUGCUAAUCUGCGAUAAGCGUCGGUAAGCUGAUAUGAAGCGUUAUACCCGACGAUACCCGAAUGGGGGAAACCCAGUGUGUUUCGACACACUAUCAUGACAUGAAUACAUAGUGUCAUGAGGCGAACCGGGGGGAACUGAAACAUCUCAGUACCCCCGAGGAAAAGAAAUCAACCGAGAUUCCCCCCAGUAGCGGCGAGCGAACGGGGAGGAGCCCAGAACCUGAAUCAGUUUGUGUGUUAGUGGAAGCGUCUGGAAAGUCGCACAGUAAAGGGUGAUAGUCCCGUACACAAAAAUGCACAAGUUGUGAGUUCGAUGAGUAGGGCGGGACACGUGACAUCCUGUCUGAAUAUGGGGGGACCAUCCUCCAAGGCUAAAUACUCCUGACUGACCGAUAGUGAACCAGUACCGUGAGGGAAAGGCGAAAAGAACCCCGGCGAGGGGAGUGAAAUAGAACCUGAAACCGUGUACGUACAAGCAGUGGGAGCCUACUUGUUAGGUGACUGCGUACCUUUUGUAUAAUGGGUCAGCGACUUAUAUUCUGUAGCAAGGUUAACCGUAUAGGGGAGCCGCAGGGAAACCGAGUCUUAACUGGGCGUUAAGUUGCAGGGUAUAGACCCGAAACCCGGUGAUCUAGCCAUGGGCAGGUUGAAGGUUGGGUAACACUAACUGGAGGACCGAACCGACUAAUGUUGAAAAUUAGCGGAUGACUUGUGGCUGGGGGUGAAAGGCCAAUCAAACCGGGAGAUAGCUGGUUCUCCCCGAAAGCUAUUUAGGUAGCGCCUCGUGAAUUCAUCUUCGGGGGUAGAGCACUGUUUCGGCUAGGGGGUCAUCCCGACUUACCAACCCGAUGCAAACUACGAAUACCGAAGAAUGUUAUCACGGGAGACACACGGCGGGUGCUAACGUUCGUCGUGAAGAGGGAAACAACCCAGACCGCCAGCUAAGGUCCCAAAGUCAUGGUUAAGUGGGAAACGAUGUGGGAAGGCAUAGACAGCCAGGAUGUUGGCUUAGAAGCAGCCAUCAUUUAAAGAAAGCGUAAUAGCUCACUGGUCGAGUCGGCCUGCGCGGAAGAUGUAACGGGGCUAAACCAUGCACCGAAGCUGCGGCAGCGACGCUUAGGCGUUGUUGGGUAGGGGAGCGUUCUGUAAGCCGUCGAAGGUGGCCUGUGAGGGCUGCUGGAGGUAUCAGAAGUGCGAAUGCUGACAUAAGUAACGAUAAUGCGGGUGAAAAACCCGCACGCCGGAAGACCAAGGGUUCCUGUCCAACGUUAAUCGGGGCAGGGUGAGUCGACCCCUAAGGCGAGGCUGAAAAGCGUAGUCGAUGGGAAACAGGUUAAUAUUCCUGUACUCGGUGUUACUGCGAAGGGGGGACGGAGAAAGCUAGGUUAUCCGGGCGACGGUUGUCCCGGUUUAAGCGUGAAGGUGGAUGACUUUGGUAAAUCCGGGUCGUCAUUAACACUGAGGCGUGAUGACGAGUCACUACGGUGAUGAAGUAACCGAUGCUACGCUUCCAGGAAAAGCCUCUAAGCUCCAGGUAACAUCAAAUCGUACCCCAAACCGACACAGGUGGUCAGGUAGAGAAUACUCAGGCGCUUGAGAGAACUCGGGUGAAGGAACUAGGCAAAAUGGUGCCGUAACUUCGGGAGAAGGCACGCUGAUGGUAGGUGAAGUGACUUGCUCAUGGAGCUGAAAUCAGUCGAAGAUACCAGCUGGCUGCAACUGUUUAAUAAAAAACACAGCACUGUGCAAACACGAAAGUGGACGUAUACGGUGUGACGCCUGCCCGGUGCCGGAAGGUUAAUUGAUGGGGUCAGCCGCAAGGCGAAGCUCUUGAUCGAAGCCCCGGUAAACGGCGGCCGUAACUAUAACGGUCCUAAGGUAGCGAAAUUCCUUGUCGGGUAAGUUCCGACCUGCACGAAUGGCGUAAUGAUGGCCAGGCUGUCUCCACCCGAGACUCAGUGAAAUUGAACUCGCUGUGAAGAUGCAGUGUACCCGCGGCAAGACGGAAAGACCCCGUGAACCUUUACUAUAGCUUGACACUGAACCUUGAGCCUUGAUGUGUAGGAUAGGUGGGAGGCUUUGAAGCGUGGACGCCAGUCUGCGUGGAGCCAACCUUGAAAUACCACCCUUUAAUGUUUGAUGUUCUAACGUGGACCCGUAAUCCGGGUUGCGGACAGUGUCUGGUGGGUAGUUUGACUGGGGCGGUCUCCUCCCAAAGCGUAACGGAGGAGCACGAAGGUUAGCUAAUCCUGGUCGGACAUCAGGAGGUUAGUGCAAAGGCAUAAGCUAGCUUGACUGCGAGAGUGACAGCUCGAGCAGGUGCGAAAGCAGGUCUUAGUGAUCCGGUGGUUCUGAAUGGAAGGGCCAUCGCUCAACGGAUAAAAGGUACUCCGGGGAUAACAGGCUGAUACCGCCCAAGAGUUCAUAUCGACGGCGGUGUUUGGCACCUCGAUGUCGGCUCAUCACAUCCUGGGGCUGAAGUAGGUCCCAAGGGUAUGGCUGUUCGCCAUUUAAAGUGGUACGCGAGCUGGGUUUAGAACGUCGUGAGACAGUUCGGUCCCUAUCUGCCGUGGGCGUUGGAAGAUUGAGAGGGGUUGCUCCUAGUACGAGAGGACCGGAGUGAACGCACCACUGGUGUACGGGUUGUGAUGCCAAUUGCAUUGCCCGGUAGCUAAGUGCGGAAGAGAUAACCGCUGAAAGCAUCUAAGCGGGAAACUUGCCUCGAGAUGAGUCUUCCCUGGGCACUUGAUGCCCCUGAAGGGCCGUUGAAGACGACGACGUAGAUAGGCUGGGUGUGUAAGCGUAGCGAUACGUUGAGCUAACCAGUACUAAUGACCCGAGAGGCUUAACCUUACAACACCGAAGGUGUUU